CCAAUAGCGUAUAUUAAAGUUGUUGCAGUUAAAAAGCUCGUAGUUGAAUUUCGGGAUCAAUAUGUCGGUCGUGCCAUUGGUACGUACUGGUAUCAUUGAUUUCUCCUUUCUGACGAACCAUGAUGUCAUUAAUUUGGUGUUAUGGGGAGUUAGGACUGUUACUUUGAAAAAAUUAGAGUGUUUAAAGCAGGCAUUAGCUUGAAUACAUUAGCAUGGAAUAAUGAAAUAGGACGUUUGACCCUAUUUUGUUGGUUUCUAGGAUCGACGUAAUGAUUAAUAGGGAUAGUUGGGGGCAUUAGUAUUCAAUUGUCAGAGGUGAAAUUCUUGGAUUUAUUGAAGACUAACUACUGCGAAAGCAUUUGCCAAGGAUGUUUUCAUUAAUCAAGAACGAAAGUUAGGGGAUCGAAGACGAUCAGAUACCGUCGUAGUCUUAACCAUAAACUAUGCCGACUAGGGAUCGGAUGAUGUUAAUUUUUUAAUGACUCAUUCGGCGCCUUACG
RNAcentral lists this ribosomal RNA (500 nucleotides) under uncultured Glomeromycotina. RNAcentral's name for it is "partial small subunit ribosomal RNA". It matches the Rfam family "Eukaryotic small subunit ribosomal RNA", at positions 591 to 1092 of the family's 1831-position model. The record is from RNAcentral. Lineage: Eukaryota; Fungi; Glomeromycota.